AUGAUGCAUCACAGUACUGUUUCCACCAGACCCAAGCUCAAAAUUGAAAUCGGGUCCGCGACUUGCACGCUGGACUAAGCGCGCCAUCAUCUGUUGCCUGGGUUUACGACAAUAAAUAGUCUCAUGGAAGGCCCUCGGCAUCUCCUUUUCUUCCACGGUCUACUUUCAACAAAGGAGUCGCAAAAAUGUGACGUCUCUCUGUAGUCUUUUACCCCUUCUGGAGAAAUUGCAAAAUAACGUUAUAAGUUAUCCAUGCUGACAUCUUAAAGACCUUCAGUGUCUGCUGACUGUCUUGGCUGCUUUGAAGUGGAUGAGCACCGUUAUCCAAGACUGGUUGGGGUGCUCAGUAUCGGUGGUGAGCACUGAGCCUUAUCUGUGGCCACCACAUGGGGGCGCCUUUUUCGUUUCAAUGGAGAGAUCCCACCCACGCCACAUCUUCGUCUCAGACUGAACCUAAGCCACAAUACACACACUGUGUACCAGGGAGUCCUUGCAACCUUGUUGGACAGAUGUUUGGCCCAUUUCUAUAACACCAAUUGUAAUGCAUAAAGAACAGCGUUUCUGUGCAACAACAAAAUAACAAAUACUAUUGAGGGCUCACUGUGUCUCAGGGAUUUUACCUGUAUACUCUCUAUACAAACACCCUACAAGGUAGGUGACAUUAUAUCCAUUUUAAAGAUGAAACAUUGAAUCUAAGAUUAGGGGAAAACUAGUGAAAUAUGAAUAAAGUGUAGUUUAAAGUUUUAUUCCAAUGUUAAUUUCCUAGUUUUGAUAG
Molecule: long non-coding RNA, 775 nt
Organism: Neofelis nebulosa (Clouded leopard)
Lineage: Eukaryota; Metazoa; Chordata; Mammalia; Carnivora; Felidae
Exons: 3
Source: RefSeq, a predicted model, not a curated record